GACGGAGGGUGCAAGCGUUGUUCGGAAUUAUUGGGCGUAAAGAGCUCGUAGGCGGCUCGGUAAGUCAGGUGUCAAAUCCUCAGGCUCAACCUGGGGCUCCACCUGAUACUGCUGUGGCUAGAGUCCGGUAGGGGAGCGUGGAAUUCCUGGUGUAGCGGUGAAAUGCGCAGAUAUCAGGAGGAACACCAGCGGCGAAGGCGGCGCUCUGGGCCGGAACUGACGCUGAGGAGCGAAAGCGUGGGUAGCAAACAGG
This 253-nucleotide ribosomal RNA is filed under the name uncultured bacterium. Its description in RNAcentral is "partial 16S ribosomal RNA". It matches the Rfam family "Bacterial small subunit ribosomal RNA", at positions 524 to 776 of the family's 1533-position model. The record is from RNAcentral.